RNAcentral lists this ribosomal RNA (941 nucleotides) under Enterococcus hirae. RNAcentral's name for it is "bacterial SSU rRNA". It matches the Rfam family "Bacterial small subunit ribosomal RNA", at positions 36 to 946 of the family's 1533-position model. Lineage: Bacteria; Bacillati; Bacillota; Bacilli; Lactobacillales; Enterococcaceae. The record is from RNAcentral.
CUGGCGGCGUGCCUAAUACAUGCAAGUCGAACGCUUCUUUUUCCACCGGAGCUUGCUCCACCGGAAAAAGAGGAGUGGCGAACGGGUGAGUAACACGUGGGUAACCUGCCCAUCAGAAGGGGAUAACACUUGGAAACAGGUGCUAAUACCGUAUAACAAUCGAAACCGCAUGGUUUUGAUUUGAAAGGCGCUUUCGGGUGUCGCUGAUGGAUGGACCCGCGGUGCAUUAGCUAGUUGGUGAGGUAACGGCUCACCAAGGCGACGAUGCAUAGCCGACCUGAGAGGGUGAUCGGCCACAUUGGGACUGAGACACGGCCCAAACUCCUACGGGAGGCAGCAGUAGGGAAUCUUCGGCAAUGGACGAAAGUCUGACCGAGCAACGCCGCGUGAGUGAAGAAGGUUUUCGGAUCGUAAAACUCUGUUGUUAGAGAAGAACAAGGAUGAGAGUAACUGUUCAUCCCUUGACGGUAUCUAACCAGAAAGCCACGGCUAACUACGUGCCAGCAGCCGCGGUAAUACGUAGGUGGCAAGCGUUGUCCGGAUUUAUUGGGCGUAAAGCGAGCGCAGGCGGUUUCUUAAGUCUGAUGUGAAAGCCCCCGGCUCAACCGGGGGAGGGUCAUUGGAAACUGGGAGACUUGAGUGCAGAAGAGGAGAGUGGAAUUCCAUGUGUAGCGGUGAAAUGCGUAGAUAUAUGGAGGAACACCAGUGGCGAAGGCGGCUCUCUGGUCUGUAACUGACGCUGAGGCUCGAAAGCGUGGGGAGCAAACAGGAUUAGAUACCCUGGUAGUCCACGCCGUAAACGAUGAGUGCUAAGUGUUGGAGGGUUUCCGCCCUUCAGUGCUGCAGCUAACGCAUUAAGCACUCCGCCUGGGGAGUACGACCGCAAGGUUGAAACUCAAAGGAAUUGACGGGGGCCCGCACAAGCGGUGGAGCAUGUGGUU